GACGAACGCUGGCGGCGUGCCUAAUACAUGCAAGUCGAGCGAAUCGAUGGGAGCUUGCUCCCUGAGAUUAGCGGCGGACGGGUGAGUAACACGUGGGUAACCUGCCUGUAAGACUGGGAUAACUUCGGGAAACCGGAGCUAAUACCGGAUACUUUCUUUUCUCGCAUAAGGGAAGAUGGAAAGAUGGUUCUGCUAUCACUUACAGAUGGACCCGCGGCGCAUUAGCUAGUUGGUGAGGUAACGGCUCACCAAGGCGACGAUGCGUAGCCGACCUGAGAGGGUGAUCGGCCACACUGGGACUGAGACACGGCCCAGACUCCUACGGGAGGCAGCAGUAGGGAAUCUUCCGCAAUGGACGAAAGUCUGACGGAGCAACGCCGCGUGAGCGAAGAAGGCCUUCGGGUCGUAAAGCUCUGUUGUUAGGGAAGAACAAGUACGAGAGUAACUGCUCGUACCUUGACGGUACCUAACCAGAAAGCCACGGCUAACUACGUGCCAGCCGCCGCAGUAA
Molecule: ribosomal RNA, 511 nt
Filed under: uncultured bacterium
Lineage: Bacteria
Description: partial 16S ribosomal RNA
Rfam family: Bacterial small subunit ribosomal RNA
Source: RNAcentral